Vitis riparia (riverbank grape) is the source of this 316-nucleotide long non-coding RNA. RefSeq lists it as uncharacterized. NCBI's taxonomy places the organism in Eukaryota, Viridiplantae, Streptophyta, Magnoliopsida, Vitales, Vitaceae. The transcript is spliced from 3 exons. The record is from RefSeq and is a predicted model, not a curated record.
AUUUUAUGCGGGAGUCCUCAUCCUUUUUUCGAUAGAAAAACAUCCAUCGUGAGUAAGUACAUUAGCGAAUUGGAUGAUUGCGAGAAGCUAUUUAUUCCAAUGCAUGACGAUUGCCCUGGUCAUUGGUAUCUGUGCGUCAUUGACUUCAAACACUUUGAUAUCCAAAUUUUGGAUUCAUUACGAUCGAAGAGUCGGGACGAGUUCCGGUUUAAGAGUGUCAAAAUAGUGGUUGAAUUUUGUCAAACGUUCUUCAAACUGUAUGACAUAGGGAAAGAUGUCUUCCAAUUCUCCAUUGAUUGGGCUCCUUCGAUUCCGG